This 379-nucleotide ribosomal RNA is filed under the name Globigerinita uvula. Its description in RNAcentral is "bacterial SSU rRNA". It matches the Rfam family "Eukaryotic small subunit ribosomal RNA", at positions 1185 to 1403 of the family's 1831-position model. Lineage: Eukaryota; Foraminifera; Rotaliida; Globigerinitidae. The record is from RNAcentral.
GUGGCUUAAUUUGACUCAACGCGGGAAAUCUUACCGGGUCCGGACACACUGAGGAUUGACAGGCAAUAUAUGUGACUCUUCGGAGUUUGCAUUGUUAAAUAUGCUAGUCCUUUCAUGAUUAUGUGAUAGGUGGUGCAUGGCCGUUCUUAGUUCGUGGAGUGAUCUGUCUGCUUAAUUGCGUUUCAAAUUACUUAUAAGGUAGCAAUACGCGAUGAAGCUUUCAAUAGUCCUCACGGAUUCACUUGAGUCUCUCGCUUCGCUAUCCUUUCGAAUGCAACGAACGUGACCGCAACCUCUUGUUGCCUUCGUUUAACAUCCUGCAGCUCGCUGUGGGUACUGAGGGCUUCACUCGGUGACUUUGGGCUGAGCAAUCGGUCUU